This 459-nucleotide ribosomal RNA is filed under the name Bacteroidetes bacterium 5-5. Its description in RNAcentral is "bacterial SSU rRNA". It matches the Rfam family "Bacterial small subunit ribosomal RNA", at positions 28 to 493 of the family's 1533-position model. Lineage: Bacteria; Pseudomonadati; Bacteroidota. The record is from RNAcentral.
GAUGAACGCUAGCGGCAGGCCUAAUACAUGCAAGUCGAACGGGCGGUAGCAAUACCGCUAGUGGCGCACGGGUGCGUAACGCGUAACCAACCUACCUGGAUCUGGGGGAUAGCCCGCCGAAAGGCGGAUUAAUACCGCAUAAGACUACAGAGUGGCAUCACUUAGUAGUUAAAGAUUUAUUGGAUUCAGAUGGGGUUGCGUGACAUUAGCUAGUUGGCGGGGUAACGGCCCACCAAGGCGACGAUGUCUAGGGGACCUGAGAGGGUGAUCCCCCACACUGGCACUGAGAUACGGGCCAGACUCCUACGGGAGGCAGCAGUAGGGAAUAUUGGGCAAUGGGCGAGAGCCUGACCCAGCCAUGCCGCGUGCCGGAUGAAGGCCUUCUGGGUUGUAAACGGCUUUUCUCAGGGAAGAAAAAGGUGAUGCGUCACAAACUGACGGUACCUGAGGAAUAAGCAC